This 2002-nucleotide long non-coding RNA is filed under the name Anas platyrhynchos platyrhynchos (common mallard). RNAcentral describes it as "lncRNA (ENSAPLG00000029849.1)". The record is from RNAcentral. Lineage: Eukaryota; Metazoa; Chordata; Aves; Anseriformes; Anatidae.
CUUUAACAUUAAGAUGAUUUCCAGCAUGAACAAGUAGACACAGUAAUGGAUAAUGUCAAUGAAAAAAGUAGCAUAGUUGUGAAACAAAUGAUGACAAGUGCCUGCAUUAGCUUUGUCAAAAUGCUGAUGCCAAAUACUAGGCUGUUACAAUGUCUAUGACGUGAACUGUUUGAUUUUGGCAGUUAAAUCCUGAGAGUACAGUGAAAGCAUCACAAAUCUGUGAUUUAUACUGCCAGAAGACUCUUUUUAAAGCAGGCUGUAACUGAGCAGUCAGACUUGUCAGGAAAUGUGACCACUUCACCUACCACUGGAAUUUUUAUUUUAUUUUUAUUUAUUUAUUUAUUUAUUUAUUUAUUUUUUCUGUUUAACCUGACUGGUCUUCAACCAUGCAAAUAUUCAAAUGCAAGUAAAGGACGUUGCUACAAUGCUUGACCAAAGAACUAAAUUAGAUUUAUUCAAUUUCUUUCACUUAAUACUAGCUCUGAGCAGCAUGGCAAUUAUUACACACCAGUUGUUUGUUCGAAUGCAAGUGCUACAUUCCUCAUUUUGUUGUCUAUUGGAGUAGCUUGCUUACUUUAGCGAAGGAACUGAACCUAUCACUAUUUUUCAAGAACAUUUUUGACAUGACUACUUUUCCUCAUAUGUUACAGGUACUGAAAGUGGUAAAUCCUGGUACUUUAUGAUUCUUGCUGGUAGUGAACAUAGUUUAUAAUCUUGUGUUUUGCUUUGUAACCUGAUAACAUGUUUAUUGCAGUGGUCUGGAACUUCCACAAAGACCAGAGCAUAACAUAUGAGAGGUGGCACCUCUGGAGAAAGGGAUAUGAGUCAGUACACAGAAUAAGAUCUUUUCUGGGGGAAAAAGACACCAAUACAGUUUGGGAAAGAAUAAAGAAAGAGAAGAAUUAUCUCACCCUCAGUGUCUUAGGCAGCAGAUCUUCAAGCCAAUUUCCCACCUGUGGCAGGAUGCAACUUUUUAACUGGAUGUUCCCUGCUCACUCUCACCAGCUCCUUGUGGAGGUGCAGAAUGCAAGCAGUAUACCUAGGAGGGUUUGCUGCAAGCCUGAGGCUCUUCAGGAAGCCUAGCUAUAGUGAACUCGUCCUCCUGGUUCUGGAAACUUUACUGGUGUAUAUGUUGUUUACCUCUGCAGUUUCAGCAAGAGUCUGUAAAAGCCAUUUCUCUUGUGCUUUGCCACCAAGAGGGCAUUUCUGCAACAUUACCUCUGGAUCAUCUGUCAAAGUCACUGCUGUGCCACGUCCUUAUCAUGACAAGUCAAUACCACAUAGCAGCUAGCUUCCCCUUACCAUGGGGUCAGUUUGAUUUUGUUGCUUGGACAGAGCUCACUACUGGUAUUCCUGUAUCCCCUGCUGUACAAUGUCAGUCUAAGUAUUUCCGAGGAUACUAAACACAUUUUCCAACUAGCUGAUCCUCUAUUUGUUGAGAAACAUUGAUAACAACUGUUUCCUCUACAGAGUUUGUCCCUCUGAAUUUUUGAACAAUUUAAUGGAGCAUCUCCUUAUUUCCUCCUUUUCCCCAGAAGAUGCCAAAGAACUUUUCUUCCUAUGUCUGUGCUUUCUUCCAGUACCCAGAAAUAGUUGGUAACAAGAUCUCUGCAAUUUCUUUUGUUUAGAAGCACUGAUUUCUUUGUGUUUCAUGAUGGGGAAAUGGCAUACCCUUUUGACAGCCUGCCUGUGGGUGAACAUUCAGAGCUGAGAGACAUCCUUUUCUUUAGGCCUGAUGAAAUUUAAACAUUUUGGUGAUUUUCUUCCAGUCUGGGAAGAUCUGAAUGAUUUUGAAUUGCUCUGAUAUUUGUUUGAAAUGUAUCACUGAAUCACAAAACUGAAUGAUUCAAAUAACAUUGUACGGAAUGGUUCAUAACAAUGAACGUUAACAGCUAGCACAGGCUACUGAUUCUUACUGUCCCACUUUUUGUUUAAUUAAGUCUUUUUACAUUUCUUGAAGCUGAAAUUUCACAAAUAAAUAAAUGCAAAAUGAUGUAAAGCA